AUGUGGCAUGAAGAAAGACUACAAUCUUAUGGAUGUAGAAAGCCAACCUUUGGGAUAUGCUGCAAACGAGGACAGGUUAUCUUGCCACCAUUGAAAGAACCGCCACCAUACCUUACGAGUUUGUUGACAAGAGAUGGAGGAAAAAGAUCAGCAAACUACCGAAAAAACAUUAGGUCUUACAACUCCAUGUUUGCAUUCACAUCAAUGGGGGGAACUCUAGAUAAGCAAAUAAAUAAAGAGCGUGGACCUUAUGUUUUCCGACUGAAUGGCCAGAACCGCCACCAGAUAGGCACCCUGCUACCUCAAGAAGGAAAUAAACCUCGUUUCCAGCAGUUGUAUAUCUAUGACACGAAUAAUGAGAUCCAGAACAGGGUAGAAGCAUCAAGAUCUGGUGAACGUGAUGCCUCACUAGAUGAAACAAUUGUCAGUGGCCUACAGAGCAUGCUCGACGAGAAUAACACACUAGCACAAUCAUUCCGAAUGGCAAGAGAUAGAUUUAAAGAAGAUGACUACAACAACUUCACUCUACCUUUACUUGGCAACAGGGAUCAAGAUGGGAGACAAGAUAACAUGCCAUCAACAUCGGAAGUUGCUGCACUGAUAGUCAAAGAUCCAACCCAAAAACAUUAUGGGUGUGACAUUGUUCUCGAGUACAAAGAUACGAAACCUAAAAGGAUUUCAGAAAUCCAUCCAAAAUUCAUGGCCAUGCAAUACCCGUUGCUCUUCCCAUAUGGAGAAGAUGGUUAUAGACUUGGAAUCAAAUACAACAAAAAGAAAGAGCAAGUAGGGAGGAGAAUAGUACUCCCAGCAAGUUUCACAGGAAGUCCUCGAAACAUAGAGCAGAACUACCAAGAUGCGAUGGCAAUAUGCCGUUGGGCUGGACAUCCUGACUUGUUCGUAACAUUCACAUGCAACCCUAAUUGGCCUGAGAUUCAGUUGAUGCUAAAUGAAGCAGGGAACCAGAAACCAGCAGAACGACCUGAUAUUGCAGUUUGAGUGUUCAUGAUAAAACUAAAAGAGCUCAUGUUUGAUAUUAAAAGUAAAUAACAAUUUGGAAAGACUAAAGCAAUCAUCUUCACAAUAGAAUUCCAGAAGAGAAGACUCCCACAUGCCCGUAUACUAAUAUUCCUUGACGGAAAAGAGAAAGGGAACCGUCUCAAGCCCUCACAAACAGAUGAAAUUAUAUGCGCUGAAAUCCCAGACAAGGACAAGGAUCCAGAAACAUUUGAAGCUGUCAAGAAUUUUAUGAUGCACGGACCAUGUGGAGAGGCAAAUCCAAAGUCACCCUGCAUGGAAAAACAUAUGUGCAGUAACUACUUUCCAAAAGAAUUCUGUGACGAGACGAUCGUUGAUGAAGACAACUUCCCGAGGUACAGGAGACGAGAUAAUGGCCGCCAGAUAGACAAGGGAGGAGUCAAGUUGAACAAUGGAUUUGUUGUACCAUACAACAAAGAUCUCCUGGUAAAAUUCCAAGCACACAUAAAUGUGGAGUUGUGUAAUCGAUAUAUGUCAAUCAAAUACCUCUUUAAGGAUAUCCGUCAAGGAGAUAACCAAGCAACAGCACUGGUUGAAGAAACAGACCAAUCAAAACACAAUGAUGAGAUUAAAAUGUACCUUAGAUGCAGAUACAUAACAGCAACUGAAGCAUGCUGGCGAAUAUUCAAGUUUCCUCUACAGUACCAGCAACCAUCUGUUCAGAGGCUAAUGUUCCAUGAGGAGAACAAGCAACAAGUCAUUUUUCCUGACUCAACAAACCUAGAAGAAAUAAUACAGCGGCCAAGAUCAAGUAUCACUAUGUUUACUGAGUGGAUGGAGACAAAUAAAAAACACAAAGAUGCGAGAGAAUUAACAUAUUUGGAGUUUCCUACAAGAUGGACAUGGGAUAGGACAAAACAGAAGUGGACAAGGCGGAGAGCAGGAAGGAACAUCGGCAGGAUAUAUAAUGCUCAUCCUGCAAGCGGAGAAAGGUACUAUCUCAGAGUUCUCCUCAACACUGCAAAGGGUUGCAUGACAUUUGAAGAUAUCAGGACUGUCAACGGACUCGUGCACUCAUCAUACAAAUCAGCAUGUCAUGCGCUAGGAUUUCUUGAGGAUGACAAGGAGUGGACUGAGUGCAUCAAGGAAGCAUAAGAAUGGGCAUCUGGGGUGCAACUACGCCAAUUGUUUGCAACUAUUUUGUGCUAUUGUGAGGUUACUGACUCAGGGAUGUUAUGGGAAUCCAACUGGGAGACACUCUCUAAAGACAUACAGCACACACCAAGCUGGAUUACAAACUUUCCACACCCCUUCACUCCUUCACACAACAGAAAAUGCACUUUAACAGAAAUUGAGAAGCAAAUGGGACAAGCUGGAAGAUCACUAAAGGAUUACCCUGGAAUAGAGAUACCGAACAUGUCCGAGUUAAAUGAAAUAGAGAACAGGCUUAUAAAUGAAGAAAUGAACUAUGAUAAAGACAAGUUGAAGGCUGAACACGUGCAAAUAGUGGAAAAUCUAAAUUUAGAUCAGAAGAAGGCCUUCGAUGCAAUAAUAGAAUCAGCAGAUUAAUCAUUAGGGAAGAUAAUAUUCGUGGAUGGCUAUGCCGGGACAGGUAAGACAUACCUUUGGAAAGCUAUCACUACAAGGCUAAGAUCG
This 2631-nucleotide ribosomal RNA is filed under the name Triticum aestivum (bread wheat). RNAcentral describes it as "partial small subunit ribosomal RNA". Lineage: Eukaryota; Viridiplantae; Streptophyta; Magnoliopsida; Poales; Poaceae. The record is from RNAcentral.